AUUGUCUAGUACCACUCAAAUUUCAGAAUUUUUUGGAUAUUGCUAACUAUUUUUCUACUGUUACCAUAUACACGUCCAGGCAAAGCAUGCAAAGAAGACAGCCAGACGUGUUGUGUUACCUCAGGCAUCCAAUCCAAAUCAUCUCACCAGUUCUGAUGACUCCACAUACAUAGGGAGUCCACAACGUCUUAACUUUGGCAACGACUUGGAGUUCGGUUUAUCCUCCACUCAGAAAAUGCAGCUGAUGGAUGAUAAUAGUCAUGGCGUGGCACCCCGAGUGGAUGAAAUCAUGGCAUCCCUUCGUGCACCACUUGGCUGGCAGCACAGUGACAGUUUCAAAGAGGGCCUUCCUGCGGCUAAGCCGAACUCGCAUGACCAUUUUUGCCCAGGAGCUGGCUGUCCUGGUG
Molecule: long non-coding RNA, 407 nt
Organism: Osmerus eperlanus (European smelt)
Lineage: Eukaryota; Metazoa; Chordata; Actinopteri; Osmeriformes; Osmeridae
Exons: 4
Source: RefSeq, a predicted model, not a curated record